Molecule: long non-coding RNA, 3564 nt
Filed under: Homo sapiens (human)
Lineage: Eukaryota; Metazoa; Chordata; Mammalia; Primates; Hominidae
Description: HSALNT0348231
Source: RNAcentral
UCUGUCUCAAAAAAAAAAAAAAAAGGAAUAAAUUCAGUUUAUGUAAUAAUUAUAGUAUUAUCCUACUUCAUCUUUGGUGACUUCUGAUAGUUCGAGGUUCUCUAGGAAUUGGCAUAUUUUAUUUAUGUUGUUGAACAUAUGUGAUUUGUUGGUAAUACUUUUUUUAAGUUAUGCUUUUCAUUUUUGUGGUUUGUGUAGUAAUAUCUGCUUUUAUUGUCGACAUUGGUAAUUUGUGUCUACUUUCUUCUUUUUCUUGUGAAUAUCAGUGGAGAUUGAUCAAUUUUUAAAGUCUUUUCAACUAACUAUGUUUUGAUUUCUAAAAUUUUCUCUAGGAUUUUAAAUUUAUAAUUUUAUUGAUUUUUGUUUCUGUCUUCAUUUUACCCUCCAUUUGCUUAGUUAUAGUUCCUUAGGAUGAAUGUUCUGGCUAUUUACUUGAAAUCAUUUUUCUUUUGUAAUAUGAGCAUUUAAUAUUAAUUUCUAUGUAUUUAAUUAGCUGCAUAUCACAUACACUUAUUUGUAAUAUUUUCAUUUUAAUUCAGUUAAAAAUAUUUUCUAAUUUUCCUUGACAUUUUCACUUUGUACUAUAGAUUCUUAAGAAAGUAUUAAAUUUCCAAGUGUUUAGUGAUUUUUCCUGCUAUCUUUCUUUUACCAAUUUCUAGUUUAAUUCUAUAAUGUUCAGAGAACAUACUCUGUAUGAGUUCUAUUAUCUAAAUGACGUAAGAUUUGUUCUAUUAUCCAGAAUAUGGUCUACUUUGGUGCUGUGGUUUGAAUGUGUCCUCAAAAAGGGAAGUGUUGGAAACUUAAUCCUCAAUGCAACAGUGUUGAGAGGUGGGGCCUAAUGGGAUGUGUUUAGGUCACCAGGGCUCUACCGUCAUUAAUGAAUUAAUACCACUUAUAAAAGGGUUUGAGGCUGUAAAUGUUCUCUCACUCUCUCACACAUGCUCUCUUUUCUUUUUUCCUUACAUCAUGGGAUGAGGCAGCAUGAAGGCCCUCACCAGAUGUAGCCUUCUCAACAUUGAACUUCUCAGCCUCCAGUACUGUAGUAAAUAAAUACCUGCUUUUUAAAAAUUACUUAGUGUCAAGUAUUUUGUUAUAGCAGCACAAAAUAGAAUAAGACAAGGCAAAUUAAAGGUUUAGUAAGCUAAGUGUUCAAGAACACAUGACAAAAACGUGCCUGCUACUAUUGUUGGGUGGCAUUCUAUAAAUGAAAUUAAAUCCAGUUGGUGAGAGUUGAAGUCUCCAACUACAAUUGUAGAUUUUGUCUAGUUCCUUUUGCUAUGUCAGUUUUUCCUUCCUUUAUGUCUUCUUGAUUUUUUUUCAUUUAAAAUUGUGUAAUUUCCCUAUAUGUUUUUUGUAACUUUCUUUGCUCUCAAUUCUACUUUGACUGACAUUUUUAUAAACCAUCAGAUUUUUGGUCUUGUUUGGAUUAUUGUUGGCAUAGUGUGACAUUUGUGACACACACACACACACACACACAUAUAUUUCCCUCUAUUUUCAUUUUAAACUACCAGUAUCAUUACAUUAGAAGUCAGUUUUUUAUAUAUAGAAUCUAGUUGGAUCAUGAUUUUUAAAAAUUCAUUCUGAUAAUAUGUGUGAGUUAAUUUGUGUGUCCAGACAAUUUACACUUAAUAUGAUUAUUGCUAUGUUUGAUGUAGCUCUACAUUUUUUUAUUUACCUCUUUUUACUUGUCUUUCACCUUUCUUAUUUUCUUUUUGUUGAUUUACACAUUUUAUUUUUUCAUUUUAAUUUAUUAUUGGGUGUUUGACCAUAUCCCUUUGUAUAGUUUUGGAUUUUUUUGUUUUGUUUUUAUUUUGUUUUGCUUUUGUGAUUUCUCUAGUUUUUACAGUGUACAUAUUUAGCUCUUUAUGAUUCAUUUUAAAUCAGCAUUUUACCACUUCAAGUGGAAGAUUGGAAACUUACCAUGAUAUAGGUAUUUUACUUGCCUUUUUGUAUAUUGUAGAUAUCAUAUAUUACAUCUACAUACAUUGCAAACUCCAUUAGUAAAUAGGUUUUUCAUUCCCACGUGUGUUGAGAUUUUCCUGAUCUUCCCUAUGUCUAAAAAUUUUUAAUUGUAUCCUGCAUAUUUUGAAUGUCAUGUUAUGAGCCAUUUGGUCUUGUUUAAAUUAUAUGUACUUGUUUGUUGUAGUAGGCAAUUAACUGAUAUUGAUUUUGGUCACAAGUUCCAACCUGUAUGCUGUGGCUCCAAUUUCAGUUUACUUUUUCAAGAUUUUCUGUGCUAUUUAAAUCUUUCCUGUAUGCGGGUCAUCCAGUGGCAAGUCUGGGACAUAAGUGAUAGUUUAUAUCUGUGUCCAGUUUUCAAAGUGUGCAGUUUAAGAUCAGAUCCAUGCAUACUCAAAUCAGGGUUGAACCCACAAGAUUAACAAGCAAGUUUAUAGAUCACUUUCCUAAGCUUUUCUCUUUCUGUAAUCUUUUUGGUUCUUUCUGAUUUUCUUGGGGCUUGCUUUUAUAUCCCCCAGUCAGGGAGCUGGACUGUAUUUAACCCUAUUUGUUAAAUUCUUAAUUCCAUUGCAACCAUUGUUGAGGCCAAAUGGCAGAAGGACAAAAAUAGUAAAAGCAAUGAACGUUUACCUCAUCUUAAUACCACAACUUCUCUGAUCUAAGAACUUUCCCCUCCUUAAGAGUUUUAGGUAACUGCAGGCCCAUGCUACAGCCAUCAUUACCAUCCAAAGUCCUCUUUCCCACUCCUCAAACUGGAACCAGAAGACAUCUCCUGCAGCUCUCUCUUUCUUCAUUGGUACUCACUUCCAGGUUUUAAGCAGCUCUGAGAUCAGGUUGGCAGAUACCACACAGACAUGGUUUCCCUUUAUCGCUGAAGCUGGAAUACAGGGAUUAUAGCUCACUGCAGCCUUCGGCUCCUGGGCUCAAGUGAUAAUCUUGCCUCGGUAUCCCAAGUUGCUGAGUACCUGAGACUAAAGGUUUAUACUCACCUGUCCAUCAUGUGGAAGCUGGAGAGUCACUUCUUUUGAUAAUUCAAGAAUCUUGGGAUACUUCAGAGAACAAUUCUCAAACAACAACUUCAAACUGACAGACAGACUUCAAGGAACUAUGCAGGAUAGAUGGGUGGCCAAAUGACAAGCUUGGAAAGCUACAAGGGAGUGCUACCUGCUCCUCUCCGUCCAUUCUUUGCUCUCUACUCUGAACUCCAUGUCUUCCACCAAGGUUCACUUCACCACUGUGUCAUUAAAAUGUUCAGUACCAAUAUGCAGACUGUCCGCAAUGAUAGGUAUAAACUGUUCAAGAAGACACCCAUUUCUAGCAAAAUUUCUGACUCCUUUCAAAAUAAAAAUUGGCCCUCUUACAGUAAUUUCACACUGAUAUAUGGCAGGGAUUAAUCCAAAAUGCCUGCAUAUAUUCAGGAUAGCUUUCCUGAGUUGAUUGGCCUUUGACUGUGAAAUUUUAACUACAAAAAUCAAGUUUAUGAAUCAUAUUUGUAUGUACAAAGACAUUCACUGUCAACUGACCUGUGAAAACAUAAAUCAUAUUACCAGUAUGGGGAUUAUUAUUAUAAAAGAAAUCUUUAUGUAGAGAAGAAUUACUAAUGAG